This 425-nucleotide long non-coding RNA is filed under the name Pan troglodytes (chimpanzee). RNAcentral describes it as "lincRNA". Lineage: Eukaryota; Metazoa; Chordata; Mammalia; Primates; Hominidae. The record is from RNAcentral.
GGUCUUCACCAUGAUAACUGUGGAGUAAGAAUUAUAAGCAGGUCACAGAUUAGGGACUUGAGAUUGACAGUUUGGCUUCCCUGUUCUGGGUGGCAAAGCCUGUGGAGUACUCACCUACCUGCUGCAUGAAGGCAGCAUGGAGGGACUGUGGUGGAUUAUCUGCAAAGAUGGCCAAAAUUCUCUCAUCCCUGCAGGCACAUACAAGAACUGAAGCUCAGCUAUUCACCCUACAGAAAGCCUGAAUUUUGUAAAAGUUCUGCUUAGAAUGAGGAAGAAAGAUGAAGAAUGAGGAGGAAGAAGGGAGGAACAAGAGAGAGAGGUAAAGACAACAAACAGAACAGACCUACAUUUGCAGCAUCUCCAAGUUUCUGCAACAGCAUUAUGUUGUUGUUAUGUUUUGUUUUAAUAAAAGCACAUACCAUUUU